AUGGAGUCUGUUUUGGGAUGGAUUUUCCUUGUUGCUAUUUUGAAAAGUGUCCAGUGUGAGGUGUAGUUGGUGGAGUCUGCUGGAGACAUGAGGCAGCCUGGAGAGUCUCUGAACCUCUCCUGUGACGCCUCUGGAUUCACUUUCAGUAGUUACUGGAUACACUGGGUUCACCAGGCUUCAGGGAAAGGGCUGGACUCUAUAAGUCAUGAGUUUAAUGGUACAAAGUACUAUGCACAUCCCGUGAUGGUACGAUUCGCCAUCUCCAGAGACAAUUCCAAGAACACACUUCACCUGCAAAUGGACAGUCUGAGAGCUGAGGGCACAGUUCUGUAUUACUUUUCAGCAGAAAUCACUGUGAGCCCAGACACAAAUCUCCCUGCAGGGAGGGGACUGGGCUCCAGGGAGCACUCAGGACAUGUGGAGCACAGUAUUUACAUGCAGGAGCAGGUGUAG
Molecule: non-coding RNA, 453 nt
Organism: Trichechus manatus latirostris (Florida manatee)
Lineage: Eukaryota; Metazoa; Chordata; Mammalia; Sirenia; Trichechidae
Source: the annotation of a RefSeq genome assembly